Molecule: long non-coding RNA, 380 nt
Organism: Symphalangus syndactylus (siamang)
Lineage: Eukaryota; Metazoa; Chordata; Mammalia; Primates; Hylobatidae
Source: RefSeq, a predicted model, not a curated record
ACACUGCUGGGAGGUCAAGCCGAAUAAGAGCACAAAGGCCCUCACCAGGUGCCAUGAUCCCGAACUUCCCAGCCUCCAGAACUAGGGCGCUGGGACAUGGUAUGCUAAGUGAUGCCAUGGGGAUACAGUCAGCAAAAUCCAGACUACGGAAAACUCUACGGGGCGAAUGACUUGGCUUCUUUAACCAAUUCUGUGAGGAAGAAUGAGUAAGUAAGAGAGAAAAACAGAGCAGGAGUGUGCUGGAAUGAGAACAUAUAGACUGAAAAAGUCAAAGAAAUAAUCAACCAACUGAAAUAUGUAGACCUUACUUGGAUACUGGCUGAGCUAAACAAACUGUAAAGUGAAAGAUGGCAUUUGUGAAACAACUGAAAUGUUGAACA